RNAcentral lists this ribosomal RNA (404 nucleotides) under uncultured bacterium. RNAcentral describes it as "bacterial SSU rRNA". It matches the Rfam family "Bacterial small subunit ribosomal RNA", at positions 29 to 419 of the family's 1533-position model. The record is from RNAcentral.
AACGAACGUUAGCGGCGCGCCUAACACAUGCAAGUCGAGCGAGAAGGAAGCAAUUCCUGUAAAGCGGCGCACGGGUGAGUAACACGUAGGUAAUCUACCUCGAAGUGGUGGAUAACCUUCCGAAAGGAGGGCUAAUACAGCAUGAGACCACGGUUUCGAAAGAGAUUGAGGUCAAAGCGGGCCACUAUACAUAAGCUCGCGCUUCGAGAUGAGCCUGCGGCCCAUCAUGGUAGUUGGUAGGGUAAUGGCCUACCAAGCCGAAGACGGGUAGCUGGUCUGAGAGGAUGAUCAGCCACACUGGAACUGAGACACGGUCCAGACUCCUACGGGAGGCAGCAGUGGGGAAUCUUGCGCAAUGGGCGAAAGCCUGACGCAGCGACGCCGCGUGAGUGAUGAAGGCCUUC